RNAcentral lists this unclassified non-coding RNA (427 nucleotides) under uncultured fungus. Its description in RNAcentral is "partial contains small subunit ribosomal RNA, internal transcribed spacer 1, and 5.8S ribosomal RNA". The stretch from base 1 to 73 matches the Rfam family "Eukaryotic small subunit ribosomal RNA", at positions 1759 to 1831 of the family's 1831-position model. Lineage: Eukaryota; Fungi. The record is from RNAcentral.
GCAAACUUGGUCAUUUAGAGGAAGUAAAAGUCGUAACAAGGUUUCCGUAGGUGAACCUGCGGAAGGAUCAUUAUCGAAUAUGCUUGAUGGGUUGUCGCUGGCCUCUCGAGGCAUGUGCACGCCUGUCUUGACUCUAUUCAUCCACCUGUGCACCCAUUGUAGUCUUGAAAACUUUUCUGAGGGUCGUCGAUGAAGCGGCUUGCUCGGUCGAAAGGCCGGAUUUGAGGAUUGCUGGUUGAAAGACAAAGCUCUCUUCUGUUUGAAAGUCGCAAAGUCUAUGACCUUUGGAGGGCUUUGAGACUAUGUCUUAUAUCACAAACCAUGUAGUAUGUUGCCAGAAUGUAUUCAAUGGGCCUUUGUGCCUAUAAAACCUUAUACAACUUUCAGCAACGGAUCUCUUGGCUCUCGCAUCGAUGAAGAACGCAGC